RNAcentral lists this ribosomal RNA (253 nucleotides) under uncultured bacterium. RNAcentral describes it as "partial 16S ribosomal RNA". It matches the Rfam family "Bacterial small subunit ribosomal RNA", at positions 524 to 776 of the family's 1533-position model. The record is from RNAcentral.
UACAGAGACCUCAAACGUUGUCCGGAUUUAUUGGGCGUAAAGAGCUCGUAGGCGGUUCCGUAAGUCGGGUGUGAAAAAUCUGGGCUCAACCCAGUGGAGCACCCGAUACUGCGGUGACUCGAGUCCGGUAGGGGAGUGUGGAAUUCCUGGUGUAGCGGUGAGAUGCGCAGAUAUCAGGAGGAACACCGACGGCGAAGGCAGCACUCUGGGCCGGUACUGACGCUGAGGAGCGAAAGCAUGGGGAGCGAACAGG